Molecule: unclassified non-coding RNA, 357 nt
Filed under: soil metagenome
Description: partial contains 5.8S ribosomal RNA, internal transcribed spacer 2, and large subunit ribosomal RNA
Rfam family: 5.8S ribosomal RNA (bases 1-120)
Source: RNAcentral
GAUGAAGAACGUAGCGAAAUGCGAUACGUAAUGUGAAUUGCAGAAUUCAGUGAAUCAUCGAGUCUUUGAACGCACAUUGCGCCCCCUGGUAUUCCGGCGGGCAUGCCUGUUCGAGCGUCAUUUCAACCCUCAAGCUCUCCGGAGUUUGGUGUUGGGGCGCCUGGGGCUUUUCGACCUCAGGGCCCUCAAGUCCAUCGGCGGGACCGCCAGGACACUGAGCGCAGUAGUAUUAUUUCGCUCGGUAGGAUCUUCCACGGCGGGUCGAUCUGGCCGCUAAACCCCCCAAUUCUCACCAAAGGUUGACCUCGGAUCAGGUAGGAAUACCCGCUGAACUUAAGCAUAUCAAUAAGCGGAGGA